GACGAACGCUGGCGGCGUGCCUAAUACAUGCAAGUAGAACGCACAGUUUAUACCGUAGCUUGCUACACCAUAGACUGUGAGUUGCGAACGGGUGAGUAACGCGUAGGUAACCUGCCUGGUAGCGGGGGAUAACUAUUGGAAACGAUAGCUAAUACCGCAUAAUAUUGAUUAUUGCAUGAUAAUUGAUUGAAAGAUGCUAUUGCAUCACUACCAGAUGGACCUGCGUUGUAUUAGCUAGUAGGUGAGGUAACGGCUCACCUAGGCGACGAUACAUAGCCGACCUGAGAGGGUGAUCGGCCACACUGGGACUGAGACACGGCCCAGACUCCUACGGGAGGCAGCAGUAGGGAAUCUUCGGCAAUGGACGAAAGUCUGACCGAGCAACGACGCGUGAGUGAAGAAGGUUUUCGGAUCGUAAAGCUCUGUUGUAAGAGAAGAACGGGUGUGAGAGUGGAAAGUUCACACUGUGACGGUAUCUUACCAGAAAGGGACGGCUAACUACGUG
Molecule: ribosomal RNA, 505 nt
Filed under: uncultured bacterium
Lineage: Bacteria
Description: partial 16S ribosomal RNA
Rfam family: Bacterial small subunit ribosomal RNA
Source: RNAcentral